UGGGACAUGGGACAAUAAAUCCCAAUUUGAAAGAGAAGCCUCUUCUUCAAUCAUUGAUUUUACAUUUUGAUGAUAAUUUAUAUGUUCAUAGGGAAGAAACGGCAUCUUGCCUCCAACCUCAUUCUAAUCUUAAAGAGUUAGAAGUGUGGGCAUACAGAGGCUUCAGUUUCCCAAGUUGGGUCUCUUCCCUCACAAAUGCUGUCAUUAUCAGGAUAUUUCAUUGCAGCAAAUGUCAGCAUCUCCCACCAUUGCACCAACUCCCUUCU
Molecule: unclassified non-coding RNA, 266 nt
Filed under: Hevea brasiliensis (rubber tree)
Lineage: Eukaryota; Viridiplantae; Streptophyta; Magnoliopsida; Malpighiales; Euphorbiaceae
Source: RNAcentral